This 4841-nucleotide long non-coding RNA is filed under the name Taeniopygia guttata (zebra finch). RNAcentral describes it as "lncRNA (ENSTGUG00000024922.1)". Lineage: Eukaryota; Metazoa; Chordata; Aves; Passeriformes; Estrildidae. The record is from RNAcentral.
UUUUUUUUUUUCUUUUCUGGACAAUAUUCCAGUAAUUAAAUGGAUAUGGUUUACCUCAUCUAUGAAAAUGUAUGUAUGUCUGCUAAAUCUCAAUACAUCUGGUCAGUUAUUGAAUUUAUCAUAUUCAUUCAAAUAACACAAUCAUUCCAAGAGAAAAUAUAUACAGAAAUACAUCAAUUCCCUAGAAAAAAAGCAAUUCUAAACAGCAAGUCAUAGCCAUGUCAAUCAUAGCAAACAAACUUUAAAUUCUGUGAAGUUAUUACUGGGCUCAGAUAUUGUAUUAUAUAUUAAAAAAUGUAAAUACAAACAUGGAGGUUAUACAAAGAGUUUCCAUAAAGAAAGCAUCACUGCAAAAAAAAAAAUUAGGGUAAUGAAAUUAGAUAGAUACACCACAGCAUCAUGGGUGACAAGAGUUGAUUUGCUAUAAAGAGACAAUACUAAGUAAGUAAGGAUGAUGCUGAGCUUUCCCAGAGAGAAUACGGUGUAAUGUCAAACAAAACAAUGCAAGUUUUUAGCCAAAACAAUAUUCAAAGAUGCAUAUGGAAAUGUGAGAGAUUGUUUAAAUUAUUAUAGAAAACAAAAUCUAGGUGGCAUAAUUUUACCCUCUGCUUCCACUACAACUUUUUAAAGUCAGUCAACAUUGUAUCAUUUACUUUGAAGACCUGGUCUUACCAAACAAAAAUUGAAAGGCAUUGUCGCAUGCUCUACAGAAGAAGCACUUAGGUCAAUUUUUUUUAAGUAUGUCAAUCUGAUUUUUUUUUCAUAUUGUUAAAUAUUUAUCUAAACUAACUGCAAAUAUUAUUUGCAACCAGGCUGCAUACAGAAGGAUGUUGCUUGUGUUUUUUUUAUUAGAAAGCAUAAGAAAAUCUCUGAAUUAGAAGAGAGAAUAUAUUCCUCAAAGACCCACUUUCAAGAGUCCAAGUCAAAUUAGGCAGCAAAAAUAUAAUUUUGGCUGAAAAUGUAUUUGAAACUGUGUCUUUUAAAUCACUAGUCUUUGAGUUAUUUAUCUGUCUUUAUCCUGGGUGUGGAAACUCUCAUUGCCCGAGCUCCAUUUUUAAUUCCCCAGGUGGAUAUUAUGCCUUCAAAAUAUAGUAGAUGAACAUAUUUUUUUGGCUAAGUAUGCUCAUGUUGAUCUGCCAAAUGGCCUGAUGCCUGCUAACAUAUUGGUCAGACACAUGUCUUUGGGUGCAAGUGCCAAGAAAAUUUCUCACACUUGCAUGCCACAUCUUCCAAAGGAAGUAGCAGUGAGAAGUUAUCACUACAUAUGCCUUUUCCUUUCAGCUUUGCCACACGUAUUUAGGUGAACCACACAACCAGCAACAAAAGCCCAACAAAAGGGAAAGCAAGGAGUUUGCUGAUGUUCAUGAAUUUUUCAUAAUGUAAAUAGGAAUAACUUCGGCACCUUUGACAAUCCUAGGUGUGAUUGCACUGCUGGGGCAAGGGCGAUGCAGCUCUUGACGUGAGCAGCUUCAGGCUGUAACUGGGAGAUGAGUUUGGGGGGCUGGUGAGAGGUACCUCAGCAGGUGGCAGUGUUCCUUCUCCCUGCCCUGGCCCUCAAACAGCCUUCAGCCCUUCCUCCCCAGAAGGACGAUAAUCUGAUGAGAUGGCAGAAUGCUAAUUAUCCAGGAAGAGUGUGUGUUGCUGUUUUAUAGUGGGCGAAAAACAAACAAACAAACACACAAGCACACCUGUGAAAUUUAAGCUGCUGUAAAUGAUUGAAGUCAUGGCCAAUGGUGAAAGAAGUUAAUUAAACAGGAUAUGCAAGUCUUUUAAUCACAUUCUGAUCAAAGAUGAAACCUCUUUAUGUGUCUAGAGAAUAGGAUCUCUAAAUUUUUCAGAGCAAAUACAUUCACAGAAAAUAUGAUGUAUGAGAUCAAAUAAGGCUGCCUUUUUGAUCCAAAUGUAGACAGUCUAAAUAUUUUUGUUUGCUGUAGUUAUAUCCUUGAUUUGUAUUAUGUUUGAAUGAAGAAAUAUCAAAUCCAAAAUUUUAAAAAUUAUGUUCUGAACUAAUGUAAUUCCAAUAUUUUUAAUCACUAAAAAUAGCUGCAUAUUUCUUAAAAAAAACAGUAAGAAUUAAUUCUACUAUGGACCAGAAAUCUCUGUCAGGGUGUGUUCAGUAGACCAAGCUGAUUGUAAAGACAACAGGAUAGAAAACCAAUAAGGUAGAAUUGGAAGUAAAAUUGUUCCUGGAAAAAAUUCACCAUAGGAAAAAAACCAACAACCACCAAAAAAACCCCAAAAAACUUAGAACACCUACUUCAAUUUUGAAGAGAGCUUUCACAUAUGUAAGCAAAUUUUUUGUCAACUUCCUUUUAGAAUUUCUAAAAUGCCAGGGUGUAACAUACCAGGGAUUGCAAGUAAAAGUUAACUAAAAGUGAGAAUUUACAGUGUUUUUUGGCUGUGAAUAGAGUUAGAAAUACCAAAGAUUCUCAUGAGAAAAGUUUUUACUUCUGAAGCUGCCAGUCAGGUUUUAUUUUUGAAUAGCUAAUAUUUGUGUAAGCAUUCAAAAAUGCAUGAUUGAUCUGAUUUUAACCUUUUGAGAUUUAUCCUUCUCUAGCACGAACUGAUCUUAAUCGGAGUAGUUCCUGAAGUGCAGAAAGGAGUAAUGUGUCAAUAUAUAUUUCAUUGACAUCAGGGAGGAAGAAUUGUUUAAACAUUAAAAGAUAGGUAUGGAAGCAAAAUAAAUGUGGGUAGAAAUUCCUAAAUGACAAAAAAUGUUGCAUUUUCUAUACUGCUUGAGUACAAAUAAGUUAUCUGAAAUACAGAAUUUUACAUUAGUUGUAAUGUGUCAAAAUAUCCCAUUAGAAGAAACACCAAAACCGUAAGCAUUAUGUAGCUGAAACUAAACAAUAAGUCAGUCCAUAGUAUAAAAACUGGGAUUACAAUACAUCAAAAUAAACACAAAUCAAAAUUCACAAAUUGUUGCAUAGCAACAUCCAAAACAGAUUCCUGAGACCUGUCUAAACUGCACCCUGAGGAAUGAAAUAGGGAGAAAAUAGUGGCUGAGCCCCUUUCCUCACCACUCUGAUCCACAUUGCCCUGGAUAUUUAAGAAUUUCAGUUUCAGUUUCUAAAAAAGUCUUUUGAUCACCUGCGUCAAAAUUACCAACUGAAAUGUCUCUGCAUAAUGAGGUACUUGUCAGAAAAAAUAUAGGAAUAAAUACAAAGUAAAGGGCCUUUGUACAUGUAUGAAGAAAAAAAACAGUAUUUGAACAGAAUAUCUGAUUGUGAAAGUUGGUUUGAAGAUUUGUGUCAUUAUCUACUUUCUAAUAUCAUUUGUGGAUAGGAAAAGAUAGAAAUAUAGUAGUAAUUAGCUAAUUAGAACACAUGGUGUGUGGGCUUGUUGAGAAGGCUGCAACAUUGUCUAGCAGAGAGAAACUAAAAAAGUGCCUGACUAACUAUUGUAAGCUAAUUGCCCGUGGGGUCAGCAAAGGAUUCAGCACCUCACACAAACCCAGCCCUCCCCACCUCCACCCCCUGGCACAGCUGGUUAGACUUCUCAUGCUCUGGCUUUCCUUUCCUUUGUUUUCACCCCCACCCUAAAUAUAAAGCACCACAGAGAUCUAAAAACUUUACCAAAAGACAAGAAUCUCAAGCUCUUUAUCUGAUUUCUUAUGAUAACAUUCACAACAGCCUUGAAAUCAAAGGAUACAACCCCAGACACAUUUUGAGAAGGUUUGAGGGACAUAUGCUGUGCAGCUCCUCUUUAAUGGGAUCUAGAGGGCAAGAUGAUAGAAAACCCUCAGGAGCCUCUCUGGUAAAUCCAGCUCUGUAAGCAAAGUGCUCAUGGUUGUUUUCACUUAAUUGCUAAGUUUGGAGGAAGAUGAAACAAAAAGGAAUAAAGGAAGGGAGUCAGAUAGAUGUGACUUAAUGUCACUGAAUUAACUGGGAGCAAAAAAUCAAGAAAGAGCUGGCAAUGCAUAAAGCAUUUCUAUUUUAGGUCCUGAUAUUCUUUUUUACAUAAAUUACUCAUCUUUUAAAACUAUAGACCUCUAAAAUUAGCAAAUAUUGUUAUUUUGAAUGACAAUUCAGUUCAUGGGUAGCUGCCUAAAAUAUAUCAAGACAAACUAGCAAUUAUUGGCCUUUUUUAUUCCACUUUCUGGAAAGAGUAAAAGUGUUUCAGUCAUGACAGCUCCUUUCCCUUGCUGAGCCUGUAGCUCUGGAAGUAGAGAACUAACUCACAAUCUGGAGAUUUCAACUACAACAUAAUCAAUGAAUAUCAGUCAAGUACAUCUUAAUUUGGUCAAGAAAUCAUAUACUUCUGGAAGAAAAAAUAGUUUGUUCCUGGAUCUUUCCUGUCAUCUCAGUUUUUAAAAUGUCUUUAUUUGUAUGCCAACAUUAAAGUAUACCUUCACUAAGGCCCUUAAAUCAAACUUUAUUCUGUUUUGAAAUUAUUCUCUAACACCUUGUCUGUCAUUCACUGGUAAGUUGAAUGCUCCAACAGCCGCAAGAGCUCAGAUUAGCAGGCUGGUGAGCUGAUAUAAAAAACCCAUACACCCCAAAAUAUCAUAAAACCAACACAAAAAGCCUACCUUUCUUAUUACUUCUUUUCAUCUUAUACGACAAUUCAAACUGCUAUCUGAUUCCCCUGAAGCUCUGUGUAGCUAUAUAUACUCUGAUUUAUCUAUAUCUAUUUAUAAAUAAUCUCAGAAACAUACAUUCUGUUAAAAAUCACCCUUGAAACUGGUGAUGUAACAAUGUUAUUCAUCCUUAAUAUUGAUGAAACUUUUUAAAUGAAAGAAUCUUAUUCCAAUUCAAUACUUCUAGGGGAAUUAAGUAAUUGUCUAAAUACUCCUUGAAAGGCAGAUGUGUAAACUGAGUAAAUAUGAGCUCUGAAAAGUC